Molecule: ribosomal RNA, 1463 nt
Filed under: uncultured Bordetella sp.
Lineage: Bacteria; Pseudomonadati; Pseudomonadota; Betaproteobacteria; Burkholderiales; Alcaligenaceae
Description: partial 16S-23S ribosomal RNA intergenic spacer
Rfam family: Bacterial small subunit ribosomal RNA
Source: RNAcentral
AGUUCGAUUCUGGCUCAGAUUGAACGCUGGCGGGAUGCUUUACAUGCAAAGUCGAACGGCAGCACGGACUUCAGUCUGGUGGCGAGUGGCGAACAGGUGAUAAUGUAUCGGAACGUGCCUAAUGCGGGGGACCAACUACGCGAAAGCGUAGCUAAUACCGCACAUACGCCCUUCGGGGAAAGCGAGAACCUUCGGGCCUCGCACUUAUUAGAGCGGCCGAUAUCGGAUUAGCUAGUUGGUGGGGCUAACGGCUCACCAAGGCGACGAUCCGUAGCUGGUUUGAGAGGACGACCAGCCACACUGGGACUGAGACACGGCAGACUCCUACGGGAGGCAGCAGCGAGGUACGGACAAUGGGGAAACCUGAUCCAGCCAUCCCGUAAUGCGAUGAAGGCCUUCGGGUUGUAAAGCACUUUUGGCAGGAAAGCAGCGGGAUAAUACCCCGUGCAAUACCUGCAGAAUAAGCACCGGCUAACUACGUGCCAGCAGCCGCGGUAAUACGUAGGGUGCAAGCGUUAAUCGGAAUUACUGGAGCUAAAGCGUGCGCAGGCGGUUCGGAAAGAAAAGAUGUGAAAUCCCUUUAGCCCGGUGUUGAUGGAACUGCAUUUUUAACUACCGAGCUAGAGAGAGUGUGUCAGAGGUGGAAUUCGCGAUAAUAGCAGUGAAAUGCGUAGAUAUGCGGAGGAACACCGAUGGCGAAGGCAGCCUCCUGGGAUAACACUGACACUCAUGCACGAAAGUCGGGAGCAAACGGGAAGUUAGAUACCCUGGUAGUCCACGCCCUAAACGAUGUCAACUAGCUGUUGGGGCCUUCGGGCCUUGGUAGCGCAGCUAACGCGUGAAGUUGACCGCACAGGAGGUACAGUCGCAAGGUAAAACUCAAAGGAAUUGACGGGGACCCGCACAAGCGGUGGAUGAUGGAUAAUUCGAUGCAACGCGAAAACCUUACCUACCCUUGACAUGUCUGGAAUCCCGAAGAGAUUUGGGGAGUGCUCGCAAGAGAACCGGAACACAGGUGCUGCAUGGCUGUCGUCAGCUCGUGUCGUGAGAUGUUGGGUUAAGUCCCGCAACGAGCGCAACCCUUGUCAUUAGUUGCUACGAAAGGGCACUCUAAUGAGACUGCCGGUGACAAACCGGAGGAAGGUGGGGAUGACGUCAAGUCCUCAUGGCCAUAUGGGUAGGGCUUCACGUCAUACAAUGGUCGGGACAGGGGUCGCCAACCCGCGAGGGGGAGCCAAUCCCAGAAACCCGAUCGUAGUCCGGAUCAUGAUCUGCAACUCUGACUGCGUGAAGUCGGAAUCGCUAGUAAUCGCGGAUCAGCAUGUCGCGGUGAAUACGUUCCCGGGUCUUGUACACACCGCCCACACCAUGGGAGUGGGUUUACCAGAAGUAGUUAGCCUAACCGUAAGGAGGGCGAUUACCACAUUAGGAUUCAUGACUGAGGUGAAGUCGUAACAAGGUAG